RNAcentral lists this ribosomal RNA (378 nucleotides) under uncultured Prevotella sp. RNAcentral describes it as "bacterial SSU rRNA". It matches the Rfam family "Bacterial small subunit ribosomal RNA", at positions 354 to 726 of the family's 1533-position model. The record is from RNAcentral. Lineage: Bacteria; Pseudomonadati; Bacteroidota; Bacteroidia; Bacteroidales; Prevotellaceae.
UGAGGGAAUAUUUGGGGUCAAUGGGCGAGAGCCUGAACCAGCCAAGUAGCGUGCAGGACGACGGCCCUAUGGGUUGUAAACUGCUUUUAUACGGGAAUAAAGUGAUGCCUGCGGGCGUUAUUGCAUGUACCGUACGAAUAAGGACCGGCUAAUUCCGUGCCAGCAGCCGCGGUAAUACGGAAGGUCCGGGCGUUAUCCGGAUUUAUUGGGUUUAAAGGGAGCGUAGGCCGGAGAUUAAGCGUGUUGUGAAAUGUAGUGGCUCAACCUCUGCACUGCAGCGCGAACUGGUCUUCUUGAGUACGCACAACGUGGGCGGAAUUCGUGGUGUAGCGGUGAAAUGCUUAGAUAUCACGAAGAACUCCGAUUGCGAAGGCAGCU